This 460-nucleotide ribosomal RNA is filed under the name uncultured bacterium. RNAcentral describes it as "partial 16S ribosomal RNA". It matches the Rfam family "Bacterial small subunit ribosomal RNA", at positions 338 to 795 of the family's 1533-position model. The record is from RNAcentral.
CCUACGGGUGGCAGCAGUGAGGAAUAUUGGUCAAUGGACGAGAGUCUGAACCAGCCAAGUAGCGUGAAGGAUGACUGCCCUAUGGGUUGUAAACUUCUUUUAUAUGGGAAUAAAAUGUUCCACGUGUGGGUUUUUGUAUGUACCCUAUGAAUGAGGAUCGGCUAACUCCGUGCCAGCAGCCGCGGUAAUACGGAGGAUUCGAGCGUUAUCCGGAUUUAUUGGGUUUGAAGGGAGCGUAGGUGGAUUGUUAAGUCAGUUGUGAAAGUUUGCGGCUCAACCGUAAGAUUGCAGUUGAGACUGGCAGUCUUGAGUACAGUAGAGGUGGGCGGAAUUCGUGGUGUAGCGGUGAAAUGCUUAGAUAUCACGAAGAACACCGAUUGCGAAGGCAGCUCACUGGACUGCAACUGACACUGAGGCUCGAAAGUGUGGGUAUCAAACAGGAUUAGAUACCCCAGUAGUC